This is a small nucleolar RNA of Synchiropus splendidus (mandarinfish), 305 nucleotides long. NCBI's taxonomy places the organism in Eukaryota, Metazoa, Chordata, Actinopteri, Syngnathiformes, Callionymidae. The record is from RefSeq and is a predicted model, not a curated record.
GCCCAGUGAUGACACCAAGGCAAAUAUGAGUUGACUGAGUGGAGGUUGGGGGUCAUCUUGCCUAUUCCUGGCAGGUAAUCUUGGCAGUGUAGAGGAACAUUAUUGCUCUGCUGUAAGGGCCUGCCGACAGUCAGUCGGCUUGAGCUAAAUUAGUCACUCUAAGAAAUGAACAAGUGAUUAAUGGACUGGAGCCUACAGCGUGAAUGUGUGUGAUGAUUGUGUGUGCGCGUGAGGGGCAAGGAGAUCACCCAAUUUCCUGUACAACUCAGUCAGCAGUGAGCUCCAUCUUUGGUAAUCUGAGGGCA